CCCUUAGAUGUCCUGGGCUGCACGCGCGCUACACUGAUGUGUCCAGUAAGCACCUAACCUCUUCCGAAAGGAACGGGUAACCCUUGCAAAGCACAUCGUGAUGGGGAUAGAUUAUUGCAAUUAUUAGUCUUGAACGAGGAAUUCCUAGUAAGCACAAGUCAUCAGCUUGUGUUGAUUACGUCCCUGCCCUUUGUACACACCGCCCGUCGCUCCUACCGAUUGAAUGUUCCGGUGAGCUCUUCGGACUGCGCGGUCUGCAGUUUCUGCGUUCCGUGCGGAAAGUUGCGCAAACCUUAACAUUUAGAGGAAGGAGAAGUCGUAACA
RNAcentral lists this ribosomal RNA (324 nucleotides) under uncultured eukaryote. Its description in RNAcentral is "partial 18S ribosomal RNA". It matches the Rfam family "Eukaryotic small subunit ribosomal RNA", at positions 1470 to 1796 of the family's 1831-position model. The record is from RNAcentral.